GUGGGGAAUUUUGGACAAUGGGCGAAAGCCUGAUCCAGCAAUGCCGCGUGCAGGAUGAAGGCCCUCGGGUUGUAAACUGCUUUUGUACGGAACGAAAAGCCUGGGGCUAAUAUCCCCGGGUCAUGACGGUACCGUAAGAAUAAGCACCGGCUAACUACGUGCCAGCAGCCGCGGUAAUACGUAGGGUGCAAGCGUUAAUCGGAAUUACUGGGCGUAAAGCGUGCGCAGGCGGUUUUGUAAGACAGUGGUGAAAUCCCCGGGCUCAACCUGGGAACUGCCAUUGUGACUGCAAGGCUAGAGUGCGGCAGAGGGGGAUGGAAUUCCGCGUGUAGCAGUGAAAUGCGUAGAUAUGCGGAGGAACACCGAUGGCGAAGGCAAUCCCCUGGGCCUGCACUGACGCUCAUGCACGAAAGCGUGGGGAGCAAACAGGAUUAGAUACCCUAGUAGUCC
This 450-nucleotide ribosomal RNA is filed under the name uncultured bacterium. RNAcentral describes it as "bacterial SSU rRNA". It matches the Rfam family "Bacterial small subunit ribosomal RNA", at positions 354 to 796 of the family's 1533-position model. The record is from RNAcentral.